ACAGAAGUCUCCCAUGGAACGAGCACCACCAUCUUUUACCCAAGCCGGUGCCUGUAUCCCUCUAGUCAACACCACCUGGGAACCUGUUAGAAGACCCUCAAGCUCAGCCCGGACCUAGAAUCAGACCCUGGGGCAGAGCCGCAUUUUGGCUUUCUCGACUUAUCAGCCAUCCCGACGCUGACGGCCACCCCACCUAAAGCUCGAGGACCUCACUGUGGAGAUGGACGCUGUGGGUUACAAACAAGAGUGAGCCCCCUGUCCUGCCUCAGUUUGUGGAGCAUCUUCCCCAGUCACCUAGUGCUUUGCAGGCCCUGAAGGUUCACCACCAUGUUGGGGUGGCUUCUCAAUCAGGAGAACCUGGGAUAUUUUGCCACCCGUGUGACUUGCAACAUUUUGUAUCUACUCUGAAAAUUUCCCGGCUGGUUUCCAUAGUGUCUUAUUGAGCCCCGACUGUAAUCUAAGGACAUAAAAACUGUUGCUUCCCACGGCAGACUUGAGAUGAAGUGCCUUGCUAAACAACAUAUCGCUAUUGAAGAGUGGAGAGCCACCUAGACCCCACAGGACAGACUCACAAAGAUCCAACAGAUGUUUCAGUGCAGACAGACUACCAGCUAGGAGGACUAUACCAGUGUGCUGCUUGAUGUGGGAUUCCAGCAGCUCAAAGUGGAAUGGAAACUGUUGAACAGCGGUCAGCAUCUACAGUCUAAUUUAGUCACAGGGAGCUCAAUAAGGAAUGAAGAGCAACACCCUGAACUCCAGUUGGCCUACAGAGAAGUACUUGACUGCCCAGUGGUCUUUCCAAUCAUUGAGUUGAUGGAACAGCCUAUGGACCACGAGUGUUUCUUCACCACUUCCUUGGUUCUCCUCUCCUCUAAGUACUCUGGUCUUCUUUGAGAUAAAGGAUCACUUUGGUGCCCCCAGCCAACGGGCUGACUAUGGUCUGUACAAACUGAAGGAUCCACCAGCAGAAGACGCCCAGGCAUACUGCUUAUCAUCAUUGUUCUCUGUGAUCACAACUACUCUACCACUAGAUAGACUGAAUAGAAUCCAAUACCCAGCUACCAAUCAUGGAGAUGCCUGCACCAACCUGGAGAGCCUCCAUGAAUGCGUUUGUGCCAGACUUCGCAAUAAUUUCUAAGUUAUGAACGAGGUCAGCCACAAUCAUGCCAAUGCCUGUGUCCACCAAUGUCAGUGUGUAUUCCUAAGGAUUGGGCAUGGUGUCGAUUUUCAGCUUUAACUCUGUCUAACUUGCAAGGGUCUGUGAGGCUCUCAAAGUGAAUUUUGUCUAAAGCAUCAGAAACAUUAGAGAUCAACUCCUGAAGGAAAAUUCCGUUGUUUGAAUAGAAUGUCUUGAUGAUGAGGGACAUGAGCGGAACAGUUUCUACCUGAAAGGCAAAGGUCUCCACCUCUUCCUCUCCAUGGCGCACUUCCUCAGGCAUCCUGACAGGAAAGCUAAGUAGUAAUACAGAGCAGGGUAGACCUGGACUGCAUCGGACUUCAUGCCACGCCUAGGCUGCACAGGGUUUACUCAGGAGCUUGUUUUCAUUUCUGGCAUGCAUAUUUCUUUGUCAAUCUUAAGUAUUAGGUAUUUUAUAAAUUAAAGAUGUCAUGUGAUUCUGUGUUUUGGAAAGUG
Molecule: long non-coding RNA, 1633 nt
Filed under: Mus caroli (Ryukyu mouse)
Lineage: Eukaryota; Metazoa; Chordata; Mammalia; Rodentia; Muridae
Description: lncRNA (MGP_CAROLIEiJ_G0005739.1)
Source: RNAcentral